GUCGGGAAGGGAUAAGCGCUGAAAGCAUAUAAGCGCGAAACCCACCACAAGAUGAGAUUUCUUUAAAGGGCCGUGGGAGACUACCACGUUGAUAGGCCGCAGGUGUAAAGGCAGUAAUGUCAUAGCCGAGCGGUACUAAUAGCCCAUAAGCUUAUGUACCCC
Molecule: ribosomal RNA, 162 nt
Filed under: Flavobacteriaceae bacterium
Lineage: Bacteria; Pseudomonadati; Bacteroidota; Flavobacteriia; Flavobacteriales; Flavobacteriaceae
Description: partial 23S ribosomal RNA
Rfam family: Bacterial large subunit ribosomal RNA
Source: RNAcentral